RNAcentral lists this ribosomal RNA (301 nucleotides) under uncultured bacterium. RNAcentral describes it as "partial 16S ribosomal RNA". It matches the Rfam family "Bacterial small subunit ribosomal RNA", at positions 509 to 807 of the family's 1533-position model. The record is from RNAcentral.
CAGCAGCCACGGGAAUACGGAGGGGGCUAGCGUUGUUCGGAAUUACUGGGCGUAAAGCGCACGUAGGCGGCUUUUUAAGUCAGAGGUGAAAGCCCGGGGCUCAACUCCGGAACUGCCUUUGAGACUGUCGAUCUGGAGUAUGGAAGAGGUGAGUGGAAUUCCGAGUGUAGAGGUGAAAUUCGUAGAUAUUCGGAGGAACACCAGUGGCGAAGGCGGCUCACUGGUCCAUUACCGACGCUGAGGUGCGAAAGCGUGGGGAGCAAACAGGAUUAGAUACCCCCGUAGUCCCUGUCUCUUAUAC